GCGCGGAGGGAAGGGCGUGAAGCAGCACCAGCAAAUGUGAGUCCCUUGUUACAAGAUUUGGCAGCAGCAGCAUAUCUCAGUUCCCAGAUUUGCUUAACUGAAUUUAUCCAGGCAAUCCAGUGAAGAGAUCUGGCAGAUUCCUGCCAAUCUAUAUUUCUUCAGACUAUGAGGUCUCCAGCUGCUUCUAGCCUGUCAGAGCUCUCCGGCUGAUUGAUUCCCCACAGGACAGUCCAUCAAUGGAGGAUACAAAGUGGAAGAAAACUGCCUUAAAAUAAAAGGAGUGCAAAGUGGAAGACUUGUCUGUCCCAAAUGAAUGUUAGGGCCUGUUUCUC
Molecule: long non-coding RNA, 332 nt
Organism: Gavialis gangeticus (Gharial)
Lineage: Eukaryota; Metazoa; Chordata; Crocodylia; Gavialidae
Exons: 4
Source: RefSeq, a predicted model, not a curated record